UACACUCCUACGGGAGGCAGCAGUGGGGAAUUUCGGACAAUGGGCGAAAGCCUGAUCCAGCAAUGCCGCGUGAGUGAAGAAGGCCUUCGGGUUGUAAAGCUCUUUUGUCAGGGAAGAAACGGUGAAAGCUAAUAUCUUUUGCUAAUGACGGUACCUGAAGAAUAAGCACCGGCUAACUACGUGCCAGCAGCCGCGGUAAUACGUAGGGUGCAAGCGUUAAUCGGAAUUACUGGGCGUAAAGCGUGCGCAGGCGGUUUUGUAAGUCUGAUGUGAAAUCCCCGGGCUCAACCUGGGAAUUGCAUUGGAGACUGCAAGGCUAGAAUCUGGCAGAGGGGGGUAGAAUUCCACGUGUAGCAGUGAAAUGCGUAGAUAUGUGGAGGAACACCGAUGGCGAAGGCAGCCCCCUGGGUCAAGAUUGACGCUCAUGCACGAAAGCGUGGGGAGCAAACAGGAUUAGAUACCCGGGUAGUCCC
RNAcentral lists this ribosomal RNA (473 nucleotides) under uncultured organism. Its description in RNAcentral is "partial 16S ribosomal RNA". It matches the Rfam family "Bacterial small subunit ribosomal RNA", at positions 332 to 797 of the family's 1533-position model. The record is from RNAcentral.